AUUGAACGCUGGCGGCAUGCUUUACACAUGCAAGUCGAACGGCAGCACGGGGGCAACCCUGGUGGCGAGUGGCGAACGGGUGAGUAAUAUAUCGGAACGUACCCGGAAAUGGGGGAUAACGUAGCGAAAGUUACGCUAAUACCGCAUAUGCCCUAAGGGGGAAAGCGGGGGAUUCGCAAGAACCUCGCGUUUUCGGAGCGGCCGAUAUCGGAUUAGCUAGUAGGUGAGGUAAAGGCUCACCUAGGCGACGAUCCGUAGCUGGUCUGAGAGGACGACCAGCCACACUGGAACUGAGACACGGUCCAGACUCCUACGGGAGGCAGCAGUGGGGAAUUUUGGACAAUGGGCGCAAGCCUGAUCCAGCCAUGCCGCGUGAGUGAAGAAGGCCUUCGGUUGGUUAAAGGACUCUUUCUAGCCGGAAAGAAAACGACACGGG
RNAcentral lists this ribosomal RNA (436 nucleotides) under uncultured bacterium. RNAcentral's name for it is "bacterial SSU rRNA". It matches the Rfam family "Bacterial small subunit ribosomal RNA", at positions 30 to 461 of the family's 1533-position model. The record is from RNAcentral.